Molecule: long non-coding RNA, 1165 nt
Organism: Salvelinus fontinalis (brook trout)
Lineage: Eukaryota; Metazoa; Chordata; Actinopteri; Salmoniformes; Salmonidae
Exons: 3
Source: RefSeq, a predicted model, not a curated record
AGAGACUCACCUUUCCAUAGUGGGGUCAUGUUAGUGUGUCCUAGAUCAAUACAACCUAUCUCCAGGCUCAAAGCGUCAGUCCACCAGCUGAACUCUCAGUCAGACUGGUGAAUGGGACCACUUCCUGUUCUGGGACAGUGGAAGUCUUCUACAGAGGAGAGUGGACAGUUCUAUGUACUAGGUGGUGGAGCAUGAGAGAGACUAAGGUUGUGUGUAGAGAGCUGGACUGUGGGAAUCCUGUAGCUGCAUCUAGAGGACCUCUGAUUGAAGAUGGAAGAAUAGGAGUCAGAAUAUAUAGUAGCAGAUGCAGGGGAGAUGAGUCUUCUAUUAGACAGUGUGACAUCAUAGAAUUAAGACCUGAUGUCUGUAUUGCUGAAUAUUAUCGUCAUGUGAUCUGUUCAGGUAAGAGACUGGUCAUAUUGAGAGAUUUAUUUGUACAUUAUACAUUAUUACCAUGUAUCAUGUUUUAUGUGUUUUUAUUUUAUUUAAAGAGAGGGAGAGAUGUCAGAUGUAUUUAAACAUUAUAUUUGUGUUUGUCAUAUUGGUUUAUGGGAGAUGUUCAUGGGCAGAUCAUUGUAGUUCAGAUGGUACUGAAGUGAAGCUGCCUGAUGGAUGUCCAGCUGUUUAUUUUCUAUAAAGUGAAGUGAACUUAUUCCUGUCUCCUGCCUGCAUUAUUCCCAACCCGAUCCUGAGUGACUAAGAACCCAUUUCUACCUCUUACAGUAUCAAACAUAGCAAACUACAAUCUUUUAUCCAACAUAUUUGUGUUUAGUCCUUGACAGUGUCAUCAACAAAACUGAUUGAAUGUUGUGGUGUAAAUUCUCUUCAGUAAUGAGGAGAGACCAGCAAAUCACCAAUCAGGAUAUAACUUUGUUCAGAGCUUAUAACAUUGAUUCAUUACUGCAUUAAUGAAGCUUGUCGACGACCCACCAGGUGAUUCGUUAAGAAGCCCUACGAGUGGAUUUAAACGGCUCAGUCGUGAAGUGGUAGACAACACAAGCUCACAGAACGGACCACCGAGUGUUGAACCACGUAGAGCGUAAAAAUAAUCCUCUGUUGUAAAACUCACUGCUGAGUUCCACAUACUUUUGUCCAUGUAUUAUAUCUCCUUCCUGGACUCACAGUGAUCUGCUCAGGAAAUAUCAACAUAUUAUAAUUAUAUUCA